This is a non-coding RNA of Malus domestica (apple), 1139 nucleotides long. The record is from RefSeq and is a predicted model, not a curated record. Lineage: Eukaryota; Viridiplantae; Streptophyta; Magnoliopsida; Rosales; Rosaceae.
UUCAAUACCCUCUCUUCUUUCCCACGUGAGAUGUAGCUUUUCUUUUGAACCUACUUUGAAUUUUCAAACCUUCACAAAACAAGCUUUACUUUUUUCAUGCUUUUUUCACAACUUCCCACGUGGGUUCGUGAUUUUCAGGAAGCUUUAUCCACCCUCUCUUUCUUUUAUGCGGUUUUGAGACCUACAAAUCCAACAAAAACUUUUAUGCGGCUUUAUUCCUCCCUGGCGAAAUGGGUUUUUUAAGAGUCCCCAUUUUUCUUGGCUCUCAUACAGGGUAAUUUUCCUCCAGAAGCAACUGAUAUCCUUGGGUACCCGUCAUAUUUCAAAUUUCUAUUUGGAUUGGGUAACCGUGGAUUUCUCAGUGAGGAUGGAUAAGGUCCACGAAGGCUUUCACUUUUCCUUUGCUGUAUUGCUCUUUUGCUUUUGCCACUUCACUUGUGUUUCUUUUUGUGAAUCGAGAACUCAAAACGAAGAGAGCAGUGGGAGCGAAGUAAAGGCUUCUCUUCUAUUUGGUUGUUGGACAUACUAUUUUACGGCACCAAGUUCUUUGAAAGCAAGUGUUGAUUCAUGGCUCCAAAGGUGAGGAUUGCACUCUAAAACUUGUAGGGCGCCCUCAUAAUAUUUGUUGUAUUUGUGUGCUGCCUUCUAUGUUUAAUUGGAAUAGAAUUAUACUUUUCCAUUUGUAUGUUUGGCGAGUGGCUUUACAAACAACCGUGCUCAUGAUAAUUUUGUCCUGCUUGUUUGUACUUGUGUAAAUUGAUUUGCAUAUCAGGUCUUUGGGUGUUAAUACAUAGGUUGCCCUAUGAAUGAGUUUCCCAAUUAAUUUUGGGAGGUUUUGACAUCAAGCUUUAAACUCUUUUUUUUCACAUUCAGAUGGCAGAGAAGCAAGUGAAACUUUUUGACACAAUGAAAGUUUUGUCCCAUCUUCACGUGGCAAAGAAGGUUGCUUGUCCAUUUAAAGAUUGGGAAAUUUUCCCUUUCUUUCCUUGUCUUGUAGCAUUUCAAUGUCUUUCUUUGGUCAAAGCUUUGACACAAUGUUUAAUCAAAACUUUGACACAAUUGUAGCAUUUCAAGGCUUUGAACCUUCUCCUUCCUUCUUUGUCUUUAUGAAAGUUGUGUUGGGGACUUUUCUUUUGUCA